AUGGGUUCAUCAUAUUUAUUCACAUAUUUGAUUAAUAGACAUGCUGUUAACAAAGAACAGUACUGCUAUUUUCAUCUGUAUGUUUUCCCAGUACUAGCCUAUCUCUCAUCGUAAUUUAUAACAGCAUAUAUAGCUAUAAGGACUGUGUAAUAAACUUUGGGAAACAUGUUUUAUUUAAAAAAAGUGUUAUAAUUUUUGGUUUUACAUAUUCAUCAAUUGUAAAAAUGCAUUGGUAUUUAAAUUGAUUUAGUUUUUAAAAUUCCCUCAUAUUAUUCAAAAUGGCGGCUCUUGAGACCGGAAAUGCCAAGUUUUGAUGAUCGGUUAAUAAACUAACAGGUUGUAAGGAAAGAAAAUAUUACUAAAAUUUGUUUCAAUUAAAUGCAGAAUUCUUUAGAUAAUAUUAAGUAAAUAAUAUUGUUUUUUAACCAAAAUAAAUUUUAAAGAUUUAUCCCGGUAUUAAUCUUGGCUGUAUCGUGAUUGGCCAAAAUUUCAAACUUUGACUUCCGUGAAUUCUGAUUGGACAAUUGCCAUUCCGCCAUCAAAUUUUGAAAUGGGCAAAGAAGACAGGAGUUGUUGUGAAGAUUUUCCUGAUUUUUUCAAGAAAUAUGCAGAAUCACAGCGUGUUGUAUGUAGUAAUGAAACUGCAAGCAGUGGUUUCAUAAAGAUAGACAUGCUUAAGACCUGGAUGAUAUGGCUUUAGUUGUGGAUGACCAUUUCCAUUCAGGAAAAAAUCCCAACCAAGUCCAGCUAGCAGACUGUACACCAGAUUGAAGAUACAUCAUUAAUUCAAGAUGAAAAAAAUUAAUGGAGGACGAGGAUAAUACUAUGAAAGAGAUCAGAUGCAAGAGCAACCGUUCCCAUAGAAAUACAUGCAGCCAUGUAAACAGAAACCAGUUUUCAUCUGCCAGGUGGUGGUCACAUAUAUAUUCAACUUGGAACAGAUUCAAGAAACAGAUCCAGUUGUUUGCUGAUAAAUUACUGCAGGUCAUUGGUAUCAUCUAGAACCAGGACUGUUUUAAAAAUCAUACUAGUAUGUUUGGAACAAAAUCAUGCUAGUAUAUGUUAGGAAUUUAACCUAAAACAUGCUUUAUGAAGGUUUUGGUCAAAUUUUGGUUUACAAAAUAAUGUUUUUCAAACUUUCUAUUCAAAUUUAGCAAGAACAUUAGACACACAUGUAAUCCCAAAUGCUUUUAUGUUAGAUUAUUGCUUUAUUUAAAAAACUUGCAUAUAGGGUCUGUAAUGAUUUGAGAUUAUUAUGUAAACAAUAAAAUGCUUUCUUUGGUGACAUAUGCGGGAUAUGAAUGUAGCGACAUUGCAGAAAAAAUACAUUACCCGCAUUAGCGAGUUAUGUAAAUUUUUUCUGCAAUCAUUGCUCCCUUCAUUACCUGCAUGAAUCGUCAAAGAGAGCAUUAUAUUGUUUAUAUUUACAUUUUUCUUUUAACAAAUUAAUAAAUUGUUUGUAAAGAGUAAGUUAAAUUUACUAUAUUAUUUUUAAUGUGCAUCAGUACGUUAGCUAAAAGAAACAGCCAAAUUGUCUUCAAUGGGAAUGUGAGUCUGCAUUGAUAUCCUGAUUAUUUCAGUGAUUUUUCUAAGGUCAUUGUAGGUUUCGAACAAUCGUUUAACAAGGCGUUAACUAUAAGUUUCCAUAAGAAAUGGAGGAAAGCAUACUCAUUAGAUGGAAAUAUAAUUCAGUAAACAUAUUUAUUAACAAAAACAUUGACUUGUGUUCUUCUACUCACAUGAACAGAUAUGAUUUUAAAUUCCUAUUCAAGAGCAAAAACAAUUUGAUGAAAAGUUCAUGUCAACAUUAGGGACAUCAGUAUAACACCUGUACAUGUACCUGGUUUUUUUUUUUAUCUGAAGUUUAUGAUACAGAUAGAUAUUUUUUGCCUACAUCUGUAAUUUUUCUGUGUAACUUUUCUGUACCUAAAUGAUAACUUUUUUGUACCUACAUCUAUAACUUUUCUGUACCUAAACAAUAACUUUUCUGUAACUUUAUGUAUAACUUUUCUGUACCUACAUCUAUAACUUUUCUGUACCUAAAUGAUAACUUUUCUGUAACUAUAUGUAUAACUUUUCUGUAACUAUAUGUAUAACUUUUCUGUACCUACAUCUAUAACUUUUCUGUACCUAAAUG
Molecule: long non-coding RNA, 2137 nt
Organism: Magallana angulata
Lineage: Eukaryota; Metazoa; Mollusca; Bivalvia; Ostreida; Ostreidae
Exons: 4
Source: RefSeq, a predicted model, not a curated record